This 497-nucleotide ribosomal RNA is filed under the name uncultured bacterium. Its description in RNAcentral is "partial 16S ribosomal RNA". It matches the Rfam family "Bacterial small subunit ribosomal RNA", at positions 28 to 507 of the family's 1533-position model. The record is from RNAcentral.
GAUGAACGCUGGCGGCGUGCCUAAUACAUGCAAGUCGAGCGAACAGACGAGGAGCUUGCUCCUCUGACGUUAGCGGCGGACGGGUGAGUAACACGUGGAUAACCUACCUAUAAGACUGGGAUAACUUCGGGAAACCGGAGCUAAUACCGGAUAAUAUAUUGAACCGCAUGGUUCAAUAGUGAAAGCCGGUUUUGCUGUCACUUAUAGAUGGAUCCGCGCCGCAUUAGCUAGUUGGUAAGGUAACGGCUUACCAAGGCAACGAUGCGUAGCCGACCUGAGAGGGUGAUCGGCCACACUGGAACUGAGACACGGUCCAGACUCCUACGGGAGGCAGCAGUAGGGAAUCUUCCGCAAUGGGCGAAAGCCUGACGGAGCAACGCCGCGUGAAUGAUGAAGGUCUUCGGAUCGUAAAACUCUGUUAUUAGGGAAGAACAAAUGUGUAAGUAACUAUGCACGUCUUGACGGUACCUAAUCAGAAAGCCACGGCUAACUACGUG